This 326-nucleotide transfer RNA is filed under the name Histoplasma capsulatum. RNAcentral's name for it is "hypothetical RNA". The stretch from base 4 to 99 matches the Rfam family "tRNA". Lineage: Eukaryota; Fungi; Ascomycota; Eurotiomycetes; Onygenales; Ajellomycetaceae. RNAcentral also lists the same sequence under 1 other name. The record is from RNAcentral.
GAUGGGGUGAUAGCUCAGUUGGGAGUAGCGUACGACUGAAGUUGAACUUUAGCCAAUUCUUAAAUCGUAAGGUCGCCGGUUCAAUCCCGGCUCGCCCCAGUUUCUCUUUUUUCUUGCUUCCCCUAACCAGUUUGCUUGAAAAUACCUUCUUCCUUCACGAACUCUUGACAGAAGGUAUUGAAAUCCUCAGUUCUUUCUCAAUCCGUCAAUUUCUAAAUCCAAUGGGGGUUUUUUUUUGGGCCUUUUCAAAGAUCCUUGCUGAACAGAACAUCUGCAAAUGCUGGCAGCUCGCCUUAGUUCGUAGAAUUUAAAUUCUACACUUGACU